This 97-nucleotide ribosomal RNA is filed under the name Etheostoma caeruleum (rainbow darter). RNAcentral describes it as "partial 12S ribosomal RNA". The record is from RNAcentral. Lineage: Eukaryota; Metazoa; Chordata; Actinopteri; Perciformes; Percidae.
CACAAAGGCUUGGUCCUGACUUUACUAUCAACUUUAGCUAAACUUACACAUGCAAGUAUCCGCAUCCCCGUGAGAAUGCCCUACAGUUCCCUGCCCG